GCCUCACUAGCUCAAUCGGUUAGUAGCAAAUCACUCUUAAUGAUUAGGUUCUAGGUUCAAGUCCUAGGUGGGGCA
Molecule: transfer RNA, 75 nt
Filed under: Paludibacteraceae bacterium
Lineage: Bacteria; Pseudomonadati; Bacteroidota; Bacteroidia; Bacteroidales; Paludibacteraceae
Description: tRNA-Lys
Rfam family: tRNA
About the family: Transfer RNA (tRNA) molecules are approximately 80 nucleotides in length. Their secondary structure includes four short double-helical elements and three loops (D, anti-codon, and T loops).
Source: RNAcentral